Molecule: ribosomal RNA, 702 nt
Filed under: Mycobacterium sp.
Lineage: Bacteria; Bacillati; Actinomycetota; Actinomycetes; Mycobacteriales; Mycobacteriaceae
Description: bacterial SSU rRNA
Rfam family: Bacterial small subunit ribosomal RNA
Source: RNAcentral
GGCGAACGGGUGAGUACACGUGGGUGAUCUGCCCUGCACUUUGGGAUAAGCCUGGGAAACUGGGUCUAAUACCGAAUAUGACCACGCGCUUCAUGGUGUGUGGUGGAAAGCUUUUGCGGUGUGGGAUGGGCCCGCGGCCUAUCAGCUUGUUGGUGGGGUAAUGGCCUACCAAGGCGACGACGGGUAGCCGGCCUGAGAGGGUGACCGGCCACACUGGGACUGAGAUACGGCCAGACUCCUACGGGAGGCAGCAGUGGGGAAUAUUGCACAAUGGGCGCAAGCCUGAUGCAGCGACGCCGCGUGAGGGAUGACGGCCUUCGGGUUGUAAACCUCUUUCAAUAGGGACGAAGCGCAAGUGACGGUACCUAUAGAAGAAGGACCGGCCAACUACGUGCCAGCAGCCGCGGUAAUACGUAGGGUCCGAGCGUUGUCCGGAAUUACUGGGCGUAAAGAGCUCGUAGGUGGUUUGUCACGUUGUUCGUGUAAACUCACAGCUUAACUGUGGGCGUGCGGGCGAUACAGGCACACUAGAGUACUGCAGGGGAGACUGGAAUUCCUGGUGUAUCGGUGGAAUGCGCAGAUAUCGGGAUGAACACCGGUGGCGAAAGCGGUCUCUGGGCAGAACUGACCUGAGGAGCGAAGCGUGGGGAGCGACAGGAUAGAUACCUGGUAUCCACGCCGUAACGGUGGUACUAAGUGUGG